UAAGGGCUUGAGAUAUUGGUACGGUUCAAUCAGAAGACAGUGCUUUAUGAUUCUAAAGCUCUCUUAUUUGAUUGAGCCGUGCCAAUAUCACAUGCAAACUUU
This 102-nucleotide microRNA precursor is filed under the name Glycine max (soybean). The record is from RNAcentral. Lineage: Eukaryota; Viridiplantae; Streptophyta; Magnoliopsida; Fabales; Fabaceae.